Nerophis lumbriciformis (worm pipefish) is the source of this 379-nucleotide non-coding RNA. NCBI's taxonomy places the organism in Eukaryota, Metazoa, Chordata, Actinopteri, Syngnathiformes, Syngnathidae. The record is from RefSeq and is a predicted model, not a curated record.
GGGGCGUCUCCUGAGGAGGCGUCCGCUGCAAGGGCUGGAGAGGGGACCAGUCGGGGGUCGCGGAAGAGUAACGAGGGGACAUCACCGAAGAAAGCCCCCGCUCCUGUUCUUCAUCCCGAAAGUCGAUCAGGAGAGGCGAGGAGGCCGUGGGUCCCCCUGGUGAUCCCAGAGGAAGCCUCCUGCGAGAUGCAGGAAUAAGCUGGGUGGGCGGAGCCUCGCCGAGGGUGUCCUGGGCAGGCCCGCUGUCCGUGGCCCGGGGCUGUGUCACCCUCUGCUCCUUGGGUGGUUCCGGUCGACGAGGAAGGAAGAUCGGGGCAACCCGUGCUGGAGGGAUUGCUUCCCGAUCCACCUCAGGAGACCAAUCUGGAGCCACGGCGUC